RNAcentral lists this long non-coding RNA (1278 nucleotides) under Oreochromis niloticus (Nile tilapia). Its description in RNAcentral is "lncRNA (ENSONIG00000036769.1)". Lineage: Eukaryota; Metazoa; Chordata; Actinopteri; Cichliformes; Cichlidae. The record is from RNAcentral.
AUGGAGCACCUCUUCAACCUGAGCCUGAGGCUGGGACGAGUCCCACAGCUCUGGAAAACCUCCUGUGUUGUACCAGUGCCAAAGACUUCACACCCCAAGGACCUAAACAGCUACAGGCCGGUGGCUCUGACAUCCCACCUGAUGAAGACCCUGGAGCGGUUGGUCCUGGCUCAGCUUCGGCGCCUUGUGAGCUCAUCACUGGACCCACUUCAGUUUGCCUACCAGCCUGGCAUUGGAGCGGAUGAUGCCAUCAUUCACCUCCUACAUCGUUCCCUCGCUCACCUGGAGACCGCUGGGAGCACUGUGAGAAUCAUGUUCUUUGAUUUCUCCAGUGCCUUCAACACCAUUCUUCCCUCGGUUCUGAAGGACAAGCUGGAGAACUCAGAAGUGGACCAUCACCUCACUACCUGGAUUCUGGACUACCUCACCGACCGACCACAGUAUGUGAGGACUCAGGGCUGUGUGUCGGACAGGGUCGUCUGCAGUACGGGGGCCCCACAGGGAACGGUUCUGGCUCCGCUCCUCUUCACCAUCUACACUGCAGACUUCUCCCACAACUCCACCCAGUGCUUCCUGCAGAAGUUCUCUGAUGACUCUGCAAUAGUCGGCCUCAUCACUGAUGGGGACGACAAGGAGUACAGAGGACUGACUCAAGACUUUGUGGUCUGGUGCCAGCUGAACUACCUCCAGAUCAAUGCCAGUAAAACCAAGGAGCUGGUGGUAGACUUCCGCAGGCACAAACAUCCUCCACUGCAACCACUGAACAUCCAAGGUAUGGACAUUGAGGCCGUGGACAGCUACAGGUACCUUGGUGUUCAUCUGAACAGCAAACUGGACUGGACUCAUAAUUCAGACGCCCUCUACAGGAAAGGGCAGAGCAGGCUGUACCUGCUGCGGAAACUCAGGUCGUUUGGAGUGGAGGGCCCACUCCUGAAGACCUUCUAUGACUCUGUGGUGGCCUCUGCCAUCUUUUAUGGUGUGGUCUGCUGGGGUGGCAGCAUCUCUGCUGGGGACAGGAAGAGACUGAACAGGCUGAUCCGAAGGGCCAGCUCUGUUCUAGGAUGCCCUCUGGACCCAGUGGAGGUGGUGAGUGACAGGAGAAUGGCGGCUAAACUGUCAUCCCUGUUGGACAACAUCUCCCACCCCAUGCAUGAGACUGUGACAGCACUGAGCAGCUCCUUCAGUGGGAGACUGCGGCACCCACGGUGUGGGACGGAGAGAUUUCGCAGGUCUUUCCUCCCCACUGCUGUCAGACUCCACAACAAAGACUUCAACUGA